GUUAAAUAGCUUUAUAAUGCCUAGCGUUCUCAAACUGUAAGGAAAGGGACAUUCGCUUUCAAUUUUGAGGGGAGUAAAAGUUUUCAUCACCCUUUAAGAAUACUUUGGCAAUUUCUAUCAUUUUAAAUUGUAUAUACUCUUUGAUUGAUGCUAUUUCUGUUAAUAUCCUAUAGAAAUGUCUGUGAGUGUAGAUAUACAGAAAUUAAGGGCACUACUAUUUUUUUAAAAAAGAUGGUAAAAAUCAAUCAGAAUGGAAUGGUUAAAUAAUUGAUAAUACAUUUAUAUGAAAUGACACAAAAAAGCAGUUAAAAAAGUGGCAUAAUUCUAGCAGAGUCACUAAAGGAAGCUACUAUAUAGUUCUCCAUAACAAUCCCAGGGUAUAUCUGGGUGAAUAACAAAAAUCAAAAUACAAAAAUAAUUUAAAAAUUAGAAGGUUUAACCAUAACAUUUAGCAACUCAAAAUCGCUAGGAUGAAAUGAAGUAGUUAAAUAUUUUAUUGAAAAUGCAAUUCUUUAAGAUUGUUUACUUGAUCUAAUUUAGUACAGAUAUUGUCACUAGAUUUGACAAUCUUUUCUGUGAUAUUUUUGGGGUUUACACUGUUUUCGGUAAAUUUUAAUUUUGGUAAUAAUGGCAAAAUUAGAUAUACAGCAAGGACCACAGAAGUGUAUGAAAAAUCAUGAGAUAAAUUAUCAUUAUACAUGUAGUAUAACAUUUCAUCAAGACUCAAGCUAGAUUACAGAAAAGAACAUAAUAAUUUUUCUCUUUCUGUUCAUAAUUUCAAUUGCAAAAUUUUCAGUAGUUAACAGUGAUUUAUUCAUAUGGUAUCCAGAAUACUGAACUGUCCAUUAGAUGUCUUUCUUUCUAAGACCGAUAUCAUAGGCUGAUGGUGAGGUUCACAGUAGAAAUUAGCUUUCUUUCUACUUACUUUUCUAGUAUUCUUUAAGUGAAAAAAUGGCAACAUUAUCCAAAGACUGCACUUUUUGUUUUAUGCAUUUAAAAUAUUUUUAUUAAUACUAUUGUUUUUCUAAAAAGUUCUUUAUGCUUUUUUUGCUUUCAAGAAUAUUAUGUACAGGAGUUACCAUUGUGGCUCAGUAAUGACCCUGACUAGUAUUCAUGAGGACGUGGGUUUGAUCCCUGGCCCAACUCAGUGGGUUAAGUAGCCAGCUUUGCUGUGAGCUGUGGCGUAGGUCACAGUCACGGCUCGGAUCUGGUGUUGCUGCGGCUGUGGUGUAGGCUGACAGCUGCAGCUCCAAUUCAGCCCCUAAUC
This 1267-nucleotide long non-coding RNA is filed under the name Sus scrofa (pig). RNAcentral describes it as "lncRNA (ENSSSCG00060046900.1)". Lineage: Eukaryota; Metazoa; Chordata; Mammalia; Artiodactyla; Suidae. The record is from RNAcentral.